This 253-nucleotide ribosomal RNA is filed under the name uncultured bacterium. Its description in RNAcentral is "partial 16S ribosomal RNA". It matches the Rfam family "Bacterial small subunit ribosomal RNA", at positions 524 to 776 of the family's 1533-position model. The record is from RNAcentral.
UACGAAGGGGGCUAGCGUUGCUCGGAAUCACUGGGCGUAAAGCGCACGUAGGCGGAUUGUUAAGUCAGGGGUGAAAUCCUGGAGCUCAACUCCAGAACUGCCUUUGAUACUGGCGAUCUCGAGUCCGGGAGAGGUAAGUGGAACUGCGAGUGUAGAGGUGAAAUUCGUAGAUAUUCGCAAGAACACCAGUGGCGAAGGCGGCUCACUGGCCCGGUACUGACGCUGAGGUGCGAAAGCGUGGGGAGCAAACAGG